Molecule: RNA transcript, 5179 nt
Organism: Xenopus laevis (African clawed frog)
Lineage: Eukaryota; Metazoa; Chordata; Amphibia; Anura; Pipidae
Gene: tspan33.L
Gene name: tetraspanin 33 L homeolog
Exons: 8
Source: RefSeq, a predicted model, not a curated record
UAUAUGUGUUUUAAAUAAAAUGAUGACUUCUGACCUUAUUUCCUUUGUAUACUCAUUUAAGGGUCUUUAACACAUUUCCCUGAUUUUAAGUUUUCCCUGAUUUUACAUCGUUGUUCCCUGGUCCCCUGAAAGACGUAAAAUGGGGGUUCUACUGUAAUCGUCACUAUCAAUGCCUGCAGCACAUAGAAAUCAAUACUCCAGCAACGUAAGACUAUUACAUUUCACUGUGUGUUAAUUCCCCAUACCAUGUAAUACCCAAAGCCCAUGAUUUUCAGGUUUUGGCAGUUUCCUGCACUGUGUUGUUUAGUUUGGGUGGCGCUAAGACGCAAGCCAGGCAGCAAGAGCUGACACACGCACCUCCCCAAACCCAGCGAACCUCACAGCAUUCCCUGCUGCUUCCCUGAUCGGUCACUGCCCCAUACAGGUGUUCAUUCCUUCCGUGCCUUUUCAUUCUGAUCGACUGCUGGACCCACCAAUCAACAGGCGCCAUUAGUGGACUGCCUCCAAUCUGCUGGCGGAGUUUGCAAAUAGAGCUUCUGAACGUGAGGCCAGAAAAAUUGUGAAAUACAGAAGGCAACUGAGCUGCCUGUGAGCGCUAGUGUCGUUGUAUUAUUGCGAGAUCAAGACCCUGCCUGCAAGUGCCGCACUAAGCAGCCCAGAUUCCCUGCUCUCCUCCAGCCAUGGUCAGGAAAUCUCCAGGCUCUGGUAAGGAGGAAGACUUCACCUUCGUUAGCCCCGUGGUGAAAUAUCUCUUGAUCUUCUUCAACAUGCUCUUCUGGGUAAUAUCCAUGGUGAUGGUGGGUAUUGGAGUUUAUGCCCGUCUUUUGAAACAUGCUGAGGCUGCCAUGGCCUGUCUUGCUGUGGAUCCUGCCCUGUUGCUUAUUGGGGUUGGGAUUUUAAUGUUCCUUAUCACAUUCUGUGGUUGCAUUGGAUCUCUGAGGGAAAACAUCUGCCUGCUGCAAACCUUCUCAAUUUGUCUUACGCUUGUCUUCUUACUUCAGUUGGCUGUGGGCAUUGUGGGAUUCAUCUUUUCAGACAAGGCGCGUGGAAAAGUAAGUGAAAUUAUCAGCAAUGCCAUUGAACAUUACCGCGAUGACCUUGACUUGCAGAAUCUCAUAGAUUUUGGGCAGAAAGAGUUUAGUUGCUGUGGGGGCAUCUCUUACAAGGACUGGUCCCAGAACAUGUAUUUCAACUGCUCCUCAGAAAACCGCAGCCAGGAGCGCUGCUCUGUACCCUACUCUUGCUGCCUACAUGAUGAAGGGGAGGCUGUCAUCAACACCUUGUGCGGACAGGGAAUGCAGGAGCUUGACUAUCUAGAGGCAGGCGAAUUUAUCCAUACCAAUGGCUGCAUUGACAGACUUGUUAACUGGAUUCACAGUAAUCUUUUCCUGCUGGGAGGUGUGGCCCUGGGACUGGCAAUCCCACAGGUAACAAAGCAUUUGAGGGCAAAGUUAAUUUAUACAUGGAGGAUAGGUAUACAAGUGUAAUACAGUGCAUUUUGGAGGCCAUGCAAAUAUGGAGGCCAUUAAUAUCAGGCUAGGCUUUCCACUAGGCAGUGCACAUAUAAUCCUGCAUAUUGGAUUCCUGCUAACAAGAGGGAAGAGGGGUGUUGUAUACUGGAAUGAAAUUCUCUACAUUACAAGGCCCAAGCAUGGACUAGUUUCAGUUUCCUUGUUUAGCUUAUGAAAUUACUAACACUGGAUUUUUUUUUUUGAGUAAAGGAGUAGCCAAAAAUAAUGUUUAUUGCAUUCAUGUAGAACACGUGAGUAUACUUUAAAUGAUGCCACCAAAUAGAGAGAGGCCCUUGCUGAAUUUUGUUAUUGUAAUGCUUUGUAAAUGUAUUUUUCUAUUUCUUUGAAAAGCUGGUUGGAAUCCUCCUGUCCCAAAUUCUCAUCAAUCAAAUUCGGGACCAGAUCAAACUACAGAGGUAUAACCAACAGCACAAGACAGACCCUUGGUACUGACAGAGGGCCAGGUGCAUGCGCCCAACUUUGCUUUAAACAAUUACUGCAGCACAUCUCCUGGACCAGGAAAAGUACUAGCAGAUUUCAAGUCACAUUGAUUGCCACAGAAAGCUUUAGCUUUAUGGAAAAACAAAACGAGAGCUACAGUGGUGCACUAUCAUUUCCCAGAAUAGUUUCCAAUUGUCUUGGCAGAGGCUGCAUUGUGGCAUUUUGAUUUAAUGUAUUUUACAGAGCAUAACACUUCAAGGGAUAAAGUCUGCAUUUCUGUGGGAAGACAUUAAUUGAUUUACAAUAUAUGAAUUAGUGCAGUCCAGGAGGAAAAGGAUCCAUAUUGUCCAAACAAGGUGUGCUAUUCAGAGAGGAAUGUUAUAAAAGCUUGGACUUUUUUAUCAUUGCAAUUUAUAUUUAUUUUCUGAUACACAAAAGAAAUAGUUUGUAAUUAUUGCCAAGAUUGUUACUUUUUUCUUCACUGUAUACUGACAGCUGUUUCAGAAGACUAGAUGAUUCUUGCUAUAUGGAGCCUUUAAAAUAUUCUGUUAUUUUUAUAAUAGAAGCCACAAAAAAAGACACAUUUGACUAAAACCAUACAAGCAGGUUAACUGGUUCUGUAAAGCGCUGCAAAAUAUGUUGGUGCUAUAAAAAUAGAGAAUAAUAGCUAAUACCCUAACCCUGAUCCAGAUGUAUGUACUGUAUAAAUGUAUAAAGACAACCCACACUUGUAUAUCUGAGCUAAGGCCUUGAUCAUGGAUCACAUCAGAAUUCUUUCUAACUGUACCUUCCAAUUCAAGCUAACCUUGAAAGUUCAUUAUUCAGCCUGUCAGACGUUUCAGUCAUAAACAAAUCAUUUGCAAUGAAUUGGAGCAAGGGUGCACCAUUCUCUUCCUGGUAAACCCAGGGUGGUCAUGAGACCAUCCUUGUUUUUUUUGUUAAAAAAAUUGGCUGUUGCUUAUUGAGGAUCAUUUUCAAAAAACCAAUUAAAUGUCCACUAUAAUUUCAGCACGUGUUUAUAUUGAUGACCGUUCCCCUUUAGUAUCACACAGUAUUCUCAGCAUAACCGUACUCAUUUGUGUCUUGUAAAAACCAAUGAAAAUUCUUCAAUGUGUUUUACUGCAGACAGGUCAUGCUAUUUUGUUUUUGCAGAGAGUUUAGGACACAACAUGUAGUACAGAGCAGGUUUAGUUGAAUGUGACAAGUAUUAUAAAGAAACUUAAAUAGUGGCUUCUCAGGGGCAAGGAAAAAUAAUGUUCUUAGAAGUAACACUAUUUUCUCUUGGUGUAGUUGGGAAAUGGAAGGUUGUUGUGCACAGAGAGCUUUGUUUUCACUAAUGGCCAUAAUUCCCCUAAAUGCCCAUUUGAUGCAUUCUUCUUUUUAUGUUUUAUCCCUGGACAGACUAUUGAAUGUGUAUGAAAAUAUUAAUUCUUCAAUAUCCCUUCUCAACAUCUUUCAUUACACAAAAAUGAAUGACUUGCCAUUUGCUUAGUGUGUGCCAGAUGCAUCAAAGUCUGCAGCACCUGUUUAUAUGCUUAUGAAGAUGUAGCAUCUUAACUGAUGGAUCUCUCACACAAAGCAACACCCUUUAUCAAACUGAAAUAAAAAUACAUGACAUGCUCACUAAAUAGAUCAUGAAUGUCUGUUACAACUGAAUAUCCUUACUUUUUGCACUUUAUAAUUUCAUUUUGAAGCUGAAUAGAGUGCAGACUUGUGUUGUAUAGAGUGCCUGUCUUAUUUUCUUUUAUUCUAAUAGUCACCAUUGUGCAUAAAUUUGAGGGUUGCACACCAGAUCCCAGGGACGGGUAUAAUGGUCAAAGGCUUAUGAUACAAUGAACAAUUAUCAAACGUGUAAAUUCAAAAAUGUUGUGAUUGCUUUUGGAAAAAUUACAAAGAACUAAAGGGAAAUGUAUCUAAUAUUUUUACAUGUACAUGUUCAAAAUGUUGGUUCUGUGGUUGUGCACUGAAUAUUUCUGCAGUCUAUAUUUGAAAUUAUGCAGACCAUUUCAUGCAAGAUCAUGUGUGUCUUUUCUUUCCUGUGCUCAUUUGUAGUCAUUCCGUGAAUGGCUUUAAAUAUAAUAGCUUUUCUGUAAUAGUCCCCAUAGAUAAACAUGGUCCUGUAGUCUGUUACAGAAGAAUAGGAAUGCACCAAAUCCACUAUUUGUGAUUCGGCCAAAUCCUUCGUGAAAAGUUUCGGCUGAAUACCGGACCGAAUCCUAAUUUGCAUAUGCAAAUUAUUGUCGGGAAAGGAAAAAGUGAAAAAAAAAAACAUUUUUACUUCCUUGUUUUGUGACAAAAUGUCAAGUGAUUUCCCUUCCCACCCCUAAUUUACAUAUUCAAAUUCAGAUUUGGUUCAGCCAGGCCCAAGGAUUCGGCUGAAUACGAAUCCUGCUAAAAAAAAAAAAAAAAAAAAAAAAAAAAAAGGCUGAAUCCUGGAUUCGGUGCAUCCCUACAGAAGACUAUUCACUAUUUUAUUUUUUGAUAUUUCUUGCUCCAGUACUUUAAAGAUGUCCUUAACAUCAAUAAAAAUGAUAAAAUAUCCCAUAGCCCUGAUACAAUUAUUUUGGGAUCUCUUUAGAUUGUUUAAAACAACAUAGAUCUAUAAUUCUAUUGAUGUGUAGGUGCUUUGCACAGAGCUUUCAUGUUUUUACCAAUGGCCAUAAUUAAUCAUGACACAGUGAUCAGUGGUGGAUGAUUCGUAAGAUUUGAAAAUGUCUGUGUAUUUGGCUUUAAUGAACAAUCAUAGAAUGAACAUUAAACAGGAAAAUUGAGACGGAAGCAUACAAGCAUAUACAAGCAUAGGUGGUGUAUGACCACCUUAAUAAAUACACCUAUAUACAUGGAUGGAUUAUGCCUACUCUGAAGUAGAAUUCUGUAGUCUUGGCAUAUUGAAAAAUGUGUUCUCACUCAAGUGUAGCAGUAUUAAAUACACUUCUGUUUUGCUUAAUAUCGAAUUACUCCAGUAUGUAGAGACUGUGUUUUAAAAACAAUAUGUCUUCACCACUGUGUUAUAUAAUAUCUGUCCUGACCUAUAAGUGCAGCAGGUAAGCAUAUAGGAUGCAUUUUUAUAUUCCUUGCAAUAUGGAUGUGCCUUUUUUCCUUGUGUUGAAACAAAAUAUUGCUUUUACAUUGUAAUAUGAAAAGUGAAGAGUUGGUAUAUUACUUUUUUCAAUAUUGAGAAUACAAUUGAUGUGUAAAGAUGUCUAAUAAAACAAAACAUAUUACAA